UACGUAGGUGACAAGCGUUGUCCGGAUUUACUGGGCGUAAAGCGCGCGUAGGCGGCUUUGUAAGUUAGAGGUGAAAGCCCGGAGCUCAACUCCGGAACUGCCUUUAAAACUGCAUCGCUUGAAUCCAGGAGAGGUGAGUGGAAUUCCGAGUGUAGAGGUGAAAUUCGUAGAUAUUCGGAAGAACACCAGUGGCGAAGGCGGCUCACUGGACUGGUAUUGACGCUGAGGUGCGAAAGCGUGGGGAGCAAACAGG
This 253-nucleotide ribosomal RNA is filed under the name uncultured bacterium. RNAcentral describes it as "partial 16S ribosomal RNA". It matches the Rfam family "Bacterial small subunit ribosomal RNA", at positions 524 to 776 of the family's 1533-position model. The record is from RNAcentral.